GCUCCAAUAGCGUAUACUAAAGUUGUUGCAGUUAAAAAGCUCGUAGUUGGAUUUCUGGUCGUGAACCAGGUCCGGACCUCACGGUUUGUGUACCGGGUGUUUGCGUCCAUCUUCCGGGAAAACACUCCUGUUCUUCAUUGAAUGGUUGUGCGAUCUCGGUCAGUUACUGUGAGCAAAGUAGAGUGUUCAAAGCAGGCUUA
RNAcentral lists this ribosomal RNA (200 nucleotides) under uncultured eukaryote. RNAcentral describes it as "partial 18S ribosomal RNA". It matches the Rfam family "Eukaryotic small subunit ribosomal RNA", at positions 588 to 788 of the family's 1831-position model. The record is from RNAcentral.